This 491-nucleotide ribosomal RNA is filed under the name uncultured bacterium. RNAcentral describes it as "partial 16S ribosomal RNA". It matches the Rfam family "Bacterial small subunit ribosomal RNA", at positions 29 to 506 of the family's 1533-position model. The record is from RNAcentral.
AGUGAACGCUGGCGGUAGGCCUAACACAUGCAAGUCGAACGGCAGCACAGUAAGAGCUUGCUCUUACGGGUGGCGAGUGGCGGACGGGUGAGGAAUACAUCGGAAUCUACUUUUUCGUGGGGGAUAACGUAGGGAAACUUACGCUAAUACCGCAUACGACCUACGGGUGAAAGCAGGGGAUCUUCGGACCUUGCGCGAUUGAAUGAGCCGAUGUCGGAUUAGCUAGUUGGCGGGGUAACGGCCCACCAAGGCGACGAUCCGUAGCUGGUCUGAGAGGAUGAUCAGCCACACUGGAACUGAGACACGGUCCAGACUCCUACGGGAGGCAGCAGUGGGGAAUAUUGGACAAUGGGCGCAAGCCUGAUCCAGCCAUACCGCGUGGGUGAAGAAGGCCUUCGGGUUGUAAAGCCCUUUUGUUGGGAAAGAAAAGCAGCAGGUUAAUACCCCGCUGUUCUGACGGUACCCAAAGAAUAAGCACCGGCUAACUUCGU